Molecule: ribosomal RNA, 253 nt
Filed under: uncultured bacterium
Lineage: Bacteria
Also listed under: 1 other name
Description: partial 16S ribosomal RNA
Rfam family: Bacterial small subunit ribosomal RNA
Source: RNAcentral
UACAGAGGGUGCAAGCGUUAAUCGGAUUUACUGGGCGUAAAGCGUGCGUAGGCGGUUCGUUAAGUCGAUUGUGAAAGCCCUGGGCUUAACCUGGGAAUUGCAGUCGAUACUGGCGGACUAGAGAACGGUAGAGGGAGGCGGAACUCCAGGUGUAGCGGUGAAAUGCGUAGAUAUCUGGAAGAACACCGAUGGCGAAGGCAACCUCCUGGGCCUGUUCUGACGCUGAGGCACGAAAGCGUGGGUAGCAAACAGG